This 464-nucleotide ribosomal RNA is filed under the name Vreelandella stevensii. RNAcentral describes it as "partial 16S ribosomal RNA". It matches the Rfam family "Bacterial small subunit ribosomal RNA", at positions 338 to 795 of the family's 1533-position model. The record is from RNAcentral. Lineage: Bacteria; Pseudomonadati; Pseudomonadota; Gammaproteobacteria; Oceanospirillales; Halomonadaceae.
CCUACGGGGGGCAGCAGUGGGGAAUAUUGGACAAUGGGCGAAAGCCUGAUCCAGCCAUGCCGCGUGUGUGAAGAAGGCCUUCGGGUUGUAAAGCACUUUCAGUGGGGAAGAAAGCCUUGGGGCUAAUACCCUCGAGGAAGGACAUCACCCACAGAAGAAGCACCGGCUAACUCCGUGCCAGCAGCCGCGGUAAUACGGAGGGGCGAGCGUUAAUCGGAAUUACUGGGCGUAAAGCGCGCGUAGGCGGUCUGAUAAGCCGGUUGUGAAAGCCCCGGGCUCAACCUGGGAACGGCAUCCGGAACUGUCAGGCUAGAGUGCAGGAGAGGAAGGUAGAAUUCCCGGUGUAGCGGUGAAAUGCGUAGAGAUCGGGAGGAAUACCAGUGGCGAAGGCGGCCUUCUGGACUGACACUGACGCUGAGGUGCGAAAGCGUGGGUAGCAAACAGGAUUAGAUACCCCAGUAGUC